GACGAACGCUGGCGGCGUGCUUAACACAUGCAAGUCGAGCGGAAAGGCCCUUCGGGGUCCUCGAGCGGCGAACGGGUGAGUAACACGUGAGUAACCUGCCCCAGACUUUGGGAUAACCCUCGGAAACGGGGGCUAAUACCGGAUACGACACAGCUUCGCAUGGGGUCUGUGUGGAAAGUUUUUCGGUUUGGGAUGGGCUCGCGGCCUAUCAGCUUGUUGGUGGGGUGAUGGCCUACCAAGGCGACGACGGGUAGCCGGCCUGAGAGGGCGACCGGCCACACUGGGACUGAGACACGGCCCAGACUCCUACGGGAGGUAGCAGUGGGGAAUAUUGCACAAUGGGCGGAAGCCUGAUGCAGCGACGCCGCGUGAGGGAUGACGGCCUUCGGGUUGUAAACCUCUUUCAGCAGGGACGAAGCGUAAGUGACGGUACCUGCAGAAGAAGCGCCGGCCAACUACGUG
This 462-nucleotide ribosomal RNA is filed under the name uncultured bacterium. Its description in RNAcentral is "partial 16S ribosomal RNA". It matches the Rfam family "Bacterial small subunit ribosomal RNA", at positions 28 to 507 of the family's 1533-position model. The record is from RNAcentral.